GUGAGCAGAGAGCACAGGUGUCUGCACAUGGCCGCUCUGAUUUCCAAGCUUUGAGAAAACCAGAGAGGUUUUGGGUUUUUCAAGAGAAUCAAGUCACAGAAAGAACACCAUCUGAUUGGUUCACAAAAAGAUUACAUAACCCCAGUACUUGAGGUGAAGGAGCAAUGCCCAAAUCGCCAUUGCCAUGCCUGCUGCUUGGGAAACUGUGUGUGAGUACUCUUGAGUCUCGAAUCUGAAUUCGUGAUGGCAGAAACAACCUUCCCCCAUUAGUAGUUUUCUUUCACUGCAGGUUGACUACUUCUUCGAGCUUAGUCGUCACCUGAUAUGUUGUUUAUUAUUCACAACUUCUGUACUUUACCAGUUCAGGUACUAUCUAUUCCUCAAAUCUCACACGGUUGUUUCUCUUCUUCAUCCCUUUUUUAGUAUCCUUAUUUAUAUCAUCUGCACAUUGGGGUCAAAUCUCACAUGUACCUUUCCUUUUCGUAAGAAAAUCACUGGAAAUUGUCAUUUUUUUUUUCCUUCUCAUGUUUUCAAGGUUCUAGAUAUUUCACUUUUGUUUUGGGUCGUCCCUCCUG
This 575-nucleotide long non-coding RNA is filed under the name Citrus maxima (pomelo). RNAcentral's name for it is "long non-coding RNA (CMAX_LNC000783)". The record is from RNAcentral. Lineage: Eukaryota; Viridiplantae; Streptophyta; Magnoliopsida; Sapindales; Rutaceae.